Non-coding RNA from Myotis brandtii (Brandt's bat), 73 nucleotides. The record is from Rfam. NCBI's taxonomy places the organism in Eukaryota, Metazoa, Chordata, Mammalia, Chiroptera, Vespertilionidae.
GCCUGUUUGGCUCAGUGGAUAGAGCAUCAGUCUGCAGACUGAAGGGUCCCCGGUUCGAUUCUGGCCAAGGGCA